This 429-nucleotide ribosomal RNA is filed under the name uncultured bacterium. RNAcentral describes it as "bacterial SSU rRNA". It matches the Rfam family "Bacterial small subunit ribosomal RNA", at positions 355 to 776 of the family's 1533-position model. The record is from RNAcentral.
UUAGGAAUAUUCGUCAAUGGGGGAAACCCUGAACGAGCAAUGCCGCGUGAGUGAUGACGGUCUUUAUGAUUGUAAAACUCUGUUGUUGGGGAUGAAACCUUACUAUAGGUAAUGAUAGUAAGCUGACAGUACCCUUCCAGAAAGCCCCGGCUAACUACGUGCCAGCAGCCGCGGUAAUACGUAGGGGGCGAGCGUUAUCCGGAUUUAUUGGGCGUAAAGCGUGUGUAGGCGGUUUAUUAAGUCUAAGAUUAAAGUCUGAGGCUCAACCUCAGUUCGUCUUGGAAACUGGUAGACUUGAGUGUGGUAGAGGCAAGUGGAAUUUCUAGUGUAGCGGUUAAAUGCGUAGAUAUUAGAAGGAACACCAGUGGCGAAGGCGGCUUGCUGGGCCAUUACUGACGCUGAGACACGAAAGCGUGGGGAGCAAAUAGG